CGGCUUGAUUACGGAGUUCGACGACUACCGGAGGUAAGGAAGAAGGAAGACGAAGGCGAGGGGCUUCGGUGAUGGAUCAAUCGAGAGGGAGAUGGGUUUUAAAUAAAGAAAAAGGGAAGAGGAUAAACUCGAGGUCCUCGGAUAAAGCCGGAUUUCACCGGCGUAUCCCGACCAAACAGCCUUCGGCUAUUGCUCACCGGCGUACGGCACUCCUCCGGCUCCCGCGCGGCCUUAUCCUCCUUCGUGGCAUA
Molecule: long non-coding RNA, 251 nt
Filed under: Elaeis guineensis (African oil palm)
Lineage: Eukaryota; Viridiplantae; Streptophyta; Magnoliopsida; Arecales; Arecaceae
Description: long non-coding RNA (EGUI_LNC004542)
Source: RNAcentral